GAAAUCUCCCCAGAAACCUUAAGAGAAUUGUCCAGAUUUCCUGAAAGUGCUUUCAGCAGUGUUGUUUUUCCACACCCAGGAGGUCCAAGCAGUAGAGUCAUACGUCCGGGUUUUAUUACACCGCUGACAUCAUUAAUGAUAUUUAUCUUGGCCAUUUCUGACUGUAGGCCUGGAAGCCUGGCAAGGUUCAUUAUUGUGCUUUUGAGAGAAUUCCAAAGAGUAGGGAGAGGCUUUCCAUGAACUAGCUCACAUUCUGCUUCAAUGGUUAAAUUUUUGUAUCUCAC
RNAcentral lists this unclassified non-coding RNA (284 nucleotides) under Hevea brasiliensis (rubber tree). The record is from RNAcentral. Lineage: Eukaryota; Viridiplantae; Streptophyta; Magnoliopsida; Malpighiales; Euphorbiaceae.